AUGACGUCAAGUCUUCAUGGCCCUUACGACCAGGGCUACACACGUGCUACAAUGGCGCAUACCAAGAGAAGCGACCUCGCGAGAGCAAGCGGACCUCAUAAAGUGGGUCGUAGUCCGGAUUGGAGUCUGCAACUCGACUCCAUGAAGUCGGAAUCGCUAUUAAUCGUGGAUCAGAAUGCCACGGUGAAUACGUUCCCGGGCCUUGUACACACCGCCCGUCUCACCAUGGGAGUGGGUUGCAAAAGA
This 246-nucleotide ribosomal RNA is filed under the name Escherichia coli. RNAcentral describes it as "partial 16S ribosomal RNA". It matches the Rfam family "Bacterial small subunit ribosomal RNA", at positions 1179 to 1424 of the family's 1533-position model. The record is from RNAcentral. Lineage: Bacteria; Pseudomonadati; Pseudomonadota; Gammaproteobacteria; Enterobacterales; Enterobacteriaceae.